This 824-nucleotide ribosomal RNA is filed under the name Cercospora cf. chenopodii CPC 12450. RNAcentral's name for it is "eukaryotic LSU rRNA". It matches the Rfam family "Eukaryotic large subunit ribosomal RNA", at positions 77 to 930 of the family's 3401-position model. The record is from RNAcentral. Lineage: Eukaryota; Fungi; Ascomycota; Dothideomycetes; Mycosphaerellales; Mycosphaerellaceae.
GCCCUAGUAACGGCGAGUGAAGCGGCAACAGCUCAAAUUUGAAAUCUGGCGCAAGCCCGAGUUGUAAUUUGUAGAGGAUGCUUCUGGGUAGCGACCGAUCUAAGUUCCUUGGAACAGGACGUCAUAGAGGGUGAGAAUCCCGUAUGUGACCGGCCCGCACCCUUUACGUAGCUCCUUCGACGAGUCGAGUUGUUUGGGAAUGCAGCUCUAAAUGGGAGGUAAAUUUCUUCUAAAGCUAAAUACCGGCCAGAGACCGAUAGCGCACAAGUAGAGUGAUCGAAAGAUGAAAAGUACUUUGGAAAGAGAGUUAAAAAGCACGUGAAAUUGUUGAAAGGGAAGCGCCUGCAACCAGACUUCGCGGCAGUGUUCCGCCGGUCUUCUGACCGGUUCAUUCUCUGUCGCGAGGCCAUCAUCGUCUGGGCCCGCCGGAUAAGACCUGAGGAAUGUGGCUCCCCCUCGGGGGAGUGUUAUAGCCUCUGGUGAUGCGGCGUGGCUCGGGCGAGGUCCGCGCUUCGGCAAGGAUGAUGGCGUAAUGGUUGUCGGCGGCCCGUCUUGAAACACGGACCAAGGAGUCUAACAUCUAUGCGAGUGUUCGGGUGUCAAACCCCUACGCGUAAUGAAAGUGAACGGAGGUGGGAACCGUAAGGUGCACCAUCGACCGAUCCUGAUGUCCUCGGAUGGAUUUGAGUAAGAGCAUAGCUGUUGGGACCCGAAAGAUGGUGAACUAUGCCUGAAUAGGGUGAAGCCAGAGGAAACUCUGGUGGAGGCUCGCAGCGGUUCUGACGUGCAAAUCGAUCGUCAAAUUUGGGUAUAGGGGCGAAAGA